UGGGUAAUCUGCCCUUCUCAUCGGAAUAAGCGUUGGAAACGACGUCUAAUGCCGAAUACGACCUCCUUUCGCAUGAUCGGAGGUGGAAAGCUCCGGCGGAGAAGGAUGAGCUCGCGGCCUAUCAGCUAGUUGGUGUGGGUAAUGGCCCACAAGGCGACGACGGGUAGCCGGCCUGAGAGGGUGACCGGCCACACUGGGACUGAGACACGGCCCAGACUCCGUACGGGAGCAGCAGG
Molecule: ribosomal RNA, 236 nt
Filed under: uncultured bacterium
Lineage: Bacteria
Description: partial 16S ribosomal RNA
Rfam family: Bacterial small subunit ribosomal RNA
Source: RNAcentral